Molecule: non-coding RNA, 1023 nt
Organism: Callithrix jacchus (white-tufted-ear marmoset)
Lineage: Eukaryota; Metazoa; Chordata; Mammalia; Primates; Cebidae
Source: RefSeq, a predicted model, not a curated record
CUGGGUCAGAGAGGCUGCCUAUUGGAUGGCAGCUGCGGCUGAGUGGGCCCUCAAGCCAACAGGUGCCUGAAGAGGCUGAGGGCGGGGCCGGCGCGCGCGCGCAGCUGAUAACUCCCCCAACCCCAGCCCCACCCGCCAGGUAACUUUUGAAAGCCCUGGAGCGCGCGCGGCCCUCCUCCGCUCUCUCCUGUACCCGCCCCACAGCCUUGCGCAUGCGCAUAGCUCCCUGGGCGCUUCAACGAUCCAGCCGCUUGCUUUGAGUCCGGGAGGCAAAAUUGUGCCCAUUUCAAAGAUGUGAUGAUUAAGGUCUCGAGAGGGCCAGGGCUCGCCCAAGGUUUCUCUGUGAUGACAGCUUUACCUCUUUGCUGUUUAUUAUCAGGUAUUGCAAACGGACGAGAGAAAGUGGAGAUGAGUCUCGUGAUGUUUCCCAGGCUGGCCUCAAGUAAUCCUCCUGCCUUGGCCUCCCAAAGUGCUGGGAUUACAAUCAUGAGCCACUGCAUCUGGCCAGCAGUGCCUUUGACUGCAUAUAAUAGCAGAACCAGCUGACAUUUCCCUCCCCUGGCCCAGGAAGUGGUGUCUGAGUAGCUUCUGAGUUCCUGGCCCGUCCUGUUUUCCUCUAUAUGGUUCAGAGCCAUGACAAAAGUGUACUGGGGUCAGCUUGACUGUUCUCCCUUCUAGAAUGAAUCCUGGAGAAAACAAGGUCAUUCCUGCUGAUUUGGACACAUUGCAUCCCUGAGUCUCUCGUGUCCUGAGAACUGGAGGCAGUGACAUUUUGGAGGCUGCAGUGAAAGCCACACAGCCAUGGAAGGCCGAGACUCCACCAUGUUUGUGACCUUCACAUUCAGAAAACUCACUCGCACUCUGCCUCAUCUUAUCUCUAGAAUGUAUUUUACCACACUGUGUCCCUUCUUUAGUGGGAAUGUCUUUGGCCAAAAAUAAUGAAAGUUCAAACCUGACUUGCUAAUGUCCACUGAUGAGAGGAGAUGGAAUUUGUUGGAAAUAAAAGAAAACUAAGCUUACAAA